AUACAGAGACUGCAAGCGUUAUUCGGAUUCACUGGGCGUAAAGGGUGCGCAGGCGGCCGUGUGUGUAAGGUGUGAAAUCCCGGGGCUCAACCCCGGAACUGCGCCUUAAACUACAUGGCUAGAGUAUCGGAGAGGGUAGUGGAAUUCACGGUGUAGCAGUGAAAUGCGUAGAUAUCGUGAGGAACACCAGAGGCGAAGGCGACUACCUGGACGAUUACUGACGCUCAGGCACGAAAGCGUGGGGAGCAAAAGGGAUUAGAUACCCCUGUAGUCCACGCCCUAAACGGUGCACACUGGGUCUUGGCGGAUUCGACCCCUCCAGGGCCCAAGCUAACGCGUUAAGUGUGCCGCCUGAGGACUACGGCCGCAAGGCUAAA
Molecule: ribosomal RNA, 377 nt
Filed under: uncultured bacterium
Lineage: Bacteria
Description: bacterial SSU rRNA
Rfam family: Bacterial small subunit ribosomal RNA
Source: RNAcentral